This 1568-nucleotide ribosomal RNA is filed under the name uncultured bacterium. Its description in RNAcentral is "bacterial SSU rRNA". It matches the Rfam family "Bacterial small subunit ribosomal RNA". The record is from RNAcentral.
UUUAGCGGCCGCGAAUUCGCCCUUAGAGUUUGAUCAUGGCUCAGGAUGAACGUUGGCUGUGUGCCUUAGGUAUGCAAGUCGAACGAUCCUUUGAGAUUUCUGAAGCUUCGGCUGAUGAUUUUUCUUUUUGGAUAGUGGCAAACGGGUGAGUAACGCGUAGGUAACCUGCCUUAAAGUUGGGAAUAGCUCAUCGAAAGAUGGGGUAAUACUCGAUGGUCUCCAAUCGCUUCGGCGUUUUGGAGUAAAGUUUCGGCGCUUUAAGAGGGGCCUGCGUCCUAUCAGCUAGUUGGUGAGGUAAAAGCUCACCAAGGCUAAGACGGGUAGCUGGUGUGAGAGCAUGUUCAGCCACCAUGGAACUGAGACACGGUCCAUACUCCUACGGGAGGCAGCAAUUAGGAAUCUUGCGCAAUGGGGGCAACCCUGACGCAGCGACACAGCGUGGAGGAGGAAGGUCUUCGGAUUGUAAACUCCUUUUAUGAGGGACGAAUAGAUGACGGUACCUCAUGAAUAAGUACCUGCUAACUACGUGCCAGAAGCAUCGGUGAUGCGUAGGGUACGAACGUUAUCCGGAGUUAUUGGGCGUAAAGAGAUGCGUAGGCGGCUUAAUAAGUCUUGAGUUAAAGUCCACGGCUCAACCGUGGAAAAGCUCUAGAUACUGUUAGGCUUGAGAUAUAGAGGGGUAAAUGGAAUUCCGAGUGGAGUGGUGAAAUACGUUGAUAUUCGGAAGAACACCAGUGGCGAAGGCGAUUUACUGGCUAUAUUCUGACGCUAAGGCUCGAAAGUAUGGGUAGCAAAACGGAUUAGAUACCCGUGUAGUCCAUACCGUAAACGAUGAAUGCUAGGUGUUUGGUUUGACUGUUUAAUGUCUUCGGAUUUUUAGAUGGAAGAAUUAAGUGCCGCAGUUAACGCGAUAAGCAUUCCGCCUGGGAAGUACGGCCGCAAGGCUAAAACUCAAAUGAAUUGGCGGGGACCCGCACAAGCGGAGGAGCGCGUGGUUUAAUUCGAUGGUAAUCGAAGAACCUUACCAGGGUUUGACAUGUAUCUGCAUGCCCCCAGAGACGGGGGAGGCCUUCGAGGGUGAUACACAGGUGCUGCAUGGCCGUCGUCAGCUCGUGUCGUGAGAUGUAGGGUUAAGUCCCGAAACGAGCGCAACCCCUAUCCUAUGUUACAAGUGUCUUAGGAAACUGCCUCGGUAAAACGGGGAGGAAGGAGGGGAUGAUGUCUGGUCCGCAUAGCCCUUAUGUCCUGGGCUACACACGCGCUACAAUGGUCGGUACAACGGGAAGCCAAGCCGUAAGGUGGAGCUAAUCCUACAAAGCCGAUCUCAGUUCGAAUUGUGGGCUGAAAUUCGCCCACAUGAAGUUGGAUUCGCUAGUAAUCGCAGAUCAGCCAUGCUGCGGUGAAUACGUUCUCGGGUCUUGCACACACCGCCCGUCAAGCCACGGAAGUAGGUGAUACCCGAAGGUGUUCUGCUGCUUGCAGUGGGGCAACUAAGGUAACAUUUAUGACUGGGGCUAAGUCGUAACAAGGUAAAGGGCGAAUUCGUUUAAACCUGCAGGACUAGUCCC